GGAGGGUGCAAACGUUGUUCGGAAUUAUUGGGCGUAAAGAGCGUGUAGGCGGUUCGUCAAGUCUGAUGUGAAAGCCCGGGGCUCAACCCCGGAAGUGCAUUGGAAACUGGCGAACUUGAGUACGGGAGAGGAAAGUGGAAUUUCGAGUGUAGGGGUGAAAUCCGUAGAUAUUCGAAGGAACACCGGUGGCGAAGGCGGCUUUCUGGACCGAUACUGACGCUGAGAUGCGAAAGCGUGGGGAGCAAACAGGAUUAGAUACCCUGGGUAGUCCACGCCCUAAACGAUGGGUAUAGGUGUUGCGGGUAUUGACCCCCUGCAGUGCCAAAGCUAACGCAUUAAGUGCCCCGCCUGGGGAGUACGGCCGCAAGGCUA
This 372-nucleotide ribosomal RNA is filed under the name uncultured organism. RNAcentral's name for it is "partial 16S ribosomal RNA". It matches the Rfam family "Bacterial small subunit ribosomal RNA", at positions 527 to 896 of the family's 1533-position model. The record is from RNAcentral.